Molecule: ribosomal RNA, 253 nt
Filed under: uncultured bacterium
Lineage: Bacteria
Description: partial 16S ribosomal RNA
Rfam family: Bacterial small subunit ribosomal RNA
Source: RNAcentral
UACGGAGGGUGCGAGCGUUGUCCGGAAUCACUGGGCGUAAAGGACGCGUAGGUGGCCCGACAAGUCAACGGUGAAAGCUCGGCGCUCAACGCCGAGUCGGCCGUCGAUACUGUGGGGCUGGAGCACUGUAGAGGCAGAUGGAAUUCCGGGUGUAGCGGUGGAAUGCGUAGAGAUCCGGAAGAACACCGGUGGCGAAGGCGGUCUGCUGGGCAGUAGCUGACACUGAGGCGCGACAGCGUGGGGAGCAAACAGG